Molecule: ribosomal RNA, 868 nt
Filed under: uncultured bacterium
Lineage: Bacteria
Description: bacterial SSU rRNA
Rfam family: Bacterial small subunit ribosomal RNA
Source: RNAcentral
UAGAGUUUGAUCCUGGCUCAGAUUGAACGCUGGCGGCAGGCCUAACACAUGCAAGUCGAGCGGAUGAAGGGAGCUUGCUCUCUGAUUCAGCGGCGGACGGGUGAGUAAUGCCUAGAAAUCUGCCUGGUAGUGGGGGACAACGUUUCGAAAGGAACGCUAAUACCGCAUACGUCCUACGGGAGAAAGCAGGGGACCUUCGGGCCUUGCGCUAUCAGAUGAGCCUAGGUCGGAUUAGCUAGUUGGUGAGGUAACGGCUCACCAAGGCGACGAUCCGUAACUGGUCUGAGAGGAUGAUCAGUCACACUGGAACUGAGACACGGUCCAGACUCCUACGGGAGGCAGCAGUGGGGAAUAUUGGACAAUGGGCGAAAGCCUGAUCCAGCCAUGCCGCGUGUGUGAAGAAGGUCUUCGGAUUGUAAAGCACUUUAAGUUGGGAGGAAGGGCAUUAACCUAAUACGUUAGUGUUUUGACGUUACCGACAGAAUAAGCACCGGCUAACUUCGUGCCAGCAGCCGCGGUAAUACGAAGGGUGCAAGCGUUAAUCGGAAUUACUGGGCGUAAAGCGCGCGUAGGUGGUUUGUUAAGUUGAAUGUGAAAGCCCCGGGCUCAACCUGGGAACUGCAUCCAAAACUGGCAAGCUAGAGUAUGGCAGAGGGUGGUGGAAUUUCCUGUGUAGCGGUGAAAUGCGUAGAUAUAGGAAGGAACACCAGUGGCGAAAGCGACCACCUGGGCUAAUACUGACACUGAGGUGCGAAAGCGUGGGGAGCAAACAGGAUUAGAUACCCUGGUAGUCCACGCCGUAAACGAUGUCGACUAGCCGUUGGGAUCCUUGAGAUCUUAGUGGCGCAGCUAACGCAUUAAGUCGACC